CAACCAAUCCAGCCCGGCUGGGUGUUGGGCGUCGCGGCCUCCCGCGCGCCUCAAAGUCCUCGGCGGAAGCCGCCCGUUCCUCUGCGUGAUGCAUCAUCUUCGCUCGGGAGUCGGGGGCGAGCGCCCGAACGCAUCGGCGGAGACGUCGAUUCUCA
This 155-nucleotide unclassified non-coding RNA is filed under the name uncultured Ramichloridium. RNAcentral's name for it is "sequence contains ITS2". The record is from RNAcentral. Lineage: Eukaryota; Fungi; Ascomycota; Dothideomycetes; Capnodiales. RNAcentral also lists the same sequence under 1 other name.